CCUACGGGAUGCUGCAGUGGGGAAUAUUGGACAAUGGGCGAAAGCCUGAUCCAGCCAUGCCGCGUGUGUGAAGAAGGCCUUCGGGUUGUAAAGCACUUUCAGUGGGGAAGAAAGCCUUGGGGCUAAUACCCUCGAGGAAGGACAUCACCCACAGAAGAAGCACCGGCUAACUCCGUGUCAGCAGCCGCGGUAAACGGAGGGUGCGAGCGUUAAUCGGAAUUACUGGGCGUAAAGCGCGCGUAGGCGGUCUGAUAAGCCGGUUGUGAAAGCCCCGGGCUCAACCUGGGAACGGCAUCCGGAACUGUCAGGCUAGAGUGCAGGAGAGGAAGGUAGAAUUCCCGGUGUAGCGGUGAAAUGCGUAGAGAUCGGGAGGAAUACCAGUGGCGAAGGCGGCCUUCUGGACUGACACUGACGCUGAGGUGCGAAAGCGUGGGUAGCAAACAGGAUUAGAUACCCGUGUAGUC
RNAcentral lists this ribosomal RNA (464 nucleotides) under Vreelandella stevensii. RNAcentral describes it as "partial 16S ribosomal RNA". It matches the Rfam family "Bacterial small subunit ribosomal RNA", at positions 338 to 795 of the family's 1533-position model. The record is from RNAcentral. Lineage: Bacteria; Pseudomonadati; Pseudomonadota; Gammaproteobacteria; Oceanospirillales; Halomonadaceae.